This 74-nucleotide transfer RNA is filed under the name Candidatus Kaiserbacteria bacterium RIFCSPLOWO2_01_FULL_54_20. RNAcentral describes it as "tRNA-Ile". It matches the Rfam family "tRNA". Rfam says of the family: Transfer RNA (tRNA) molecules are approximately 80 nucleotides in length. Lineage: Bacteria; Candidatus Kaiseribacteriota. RNAcentral also lists the same sequence under 1 other name. The record is from RNAcentral.
GCGCCCAUAGCUCAAUGGUAGAGCGGCCGGCUUAUACCCGACUGACCUAGGUUCGAUUCCUAGUGGGCGUACAA